RNAcentral lists this long non-coding RNA (1747 nucleotides) under Vulpes vulpes (red fox). RNAcentral's name for it is "lncRNA (ENSVVUG00000008191.1)". The record is from RNAcentral. Lineage: Eukaryota; Metazoa; Chordata; Mammalia; Carnivora; Canidae.
CCCGGCUCUCCCACCGCCUGGCUCUCCUACCCCCGGGCUCUCCCACCCCCAUCUCUCCCACUGACGGGCUCUCCCACCGACGGGUUCACUCCUUGCAGGCAGGCGCCGGGUUUCACCUGCUGCCUACCACGGGCCAGCAGCUUCUCGGAGCCCCCGCCCCCUGUCUUUCUGCGGGGACGUAUUUCCUAGGAGAGGUCGCAGCCCCUGAGGCUCUGGCGUACCUGGAGGGGGUCCCUGGGGGCCCUCUGGGAUUUGCUCCUGUGCCCCCCCCAUCCUGGUCAGCUCAGCGGGGGAGGCUGAGCUCUGUGACACCCCCCCCUCCGUCAUCCCUGCGCAGGUGCUGUCAGCCGGGCUUGGGUGGGGGGACUUCCCUGGACGGUCCCUCACCGGCCUGUCUUCCUUCCCGCCACGUAUCAGCAGGGACGUCUCUCCACGCGCCCCUCUCCCCGCGGGCGGCCCCGUCUCUUCUCCCGCGGGCGGCCCCACAAUCUGUGUGCCGUGUGCACGAGGAGGCUGCCUCCCGGAGCCCGGGCACCGGAUGCCACGGCCUGGCCGGCGCUGCUGCAGCUCUGGUGCCCCCUCCCAGCAGGCGCCCGUUACACCCUGAUGCCCCCCAGUACCCUGAGGCCCCCGGCACCCCGAGUCGCCCAUCCCCCUGCACCCGAGGGCUUGCACAGGCGCCCCCCGCCUGGCGCCCUGCUACGGAGGGACGUGUCCGUGAUGCCCCCGCGUGUCCACAGAGCGCACCCCUCUACCUGUGUCCCCGCCCCCCGCAGCCCGGUGUGCGGGAGAGCUCCGGGGCGGCUGCAGUGUCACGUCGGGGGGGGGGGGCNGGGGCCUCGGGGUGUAAGAGGGGGAGCCCCGCACGACCCGGUGCAGGUGUGUCGGAGAGCUCCGGGGCUGCUGCCAGAAGCGCUUCCCGCUCGUGGAGCCGUGUCCUCGUGUCCCGUGGGUUCACAGCGGCGGUCAGAUUUUAUGUAUUUCUCCUGGAGAGACACAGAGAGGCCGAGGGAGAAGCAGGCCCCCUGCAUGGACCCCCACUGGACUGGAUCCGGGACCCGGGGUCACGCCCUGGUCGGCGCAGUUUCCAGACGUCCGUUUGGGGAGCAUCCCCACUGUCCCCACGGCCUUCUCCCGCGACAGGAGCCGGGGCAUGGAGGCCACAUCUGGGUCUCUGGGGAUGCGUUCCAGCCCCAGAGGUGGCCGCCUGCAGAGGAGCCCGUUGGGGCCCCAGGGCCUCGGGUCCGGGUGACACAGGCCGCAUUGUGCUGCUGCUGCUGCUGCAGUCCCGGCUGCCCCAAGGCCGGGAGUAGGAGGAGCAACGCGGGCGGCAGGAGAGUGUGUGCUGGAAGCAGCAGGGGCCGCCAAGGGACAUCCAGGCAGAGCACCAGAGAAGGGCAGGCACACUUGCCGUCGGAAGUGGCCAGAGAUGGGAGUCCUCUCCCUCCCCAGCUCACCAACCAUCACGACGGUCCUUCCAAACCCGACAGACGUGGAAAACUGAAGUGCAGGGAGGUUAAAGACCGCCCAGGAUCACACAGCUUCCGAGUCACCCCGGCUCUGAAGGUCCAGUAACACCUGCCAGAGUGGAAGGGCGCUGGGAAGAGUAACGAGCCCUAAUAACCAGCAGGAAUGGGGAGCAGGGAGCAGCUGCUUUCGCGGAGAUGAGUUUUACUCAUUACUCAGAGUCCCCUAAGGCCUGGCCGUGAAACACCCCUUCCUCCCGAGACACCUGCCGUGGCUCCCA